RNAcentral lists this microRNA precursor (103 nucleotides) under Marmota monax (woodchuck). Lineage: Eukaryota; Metazoa; Chordata; Mammalia; Rodentia; Sciuridae. The record is from RNAcentral.
AGCACAAUUGCUGGAUUAUAUGAUAAGGCAAUGUUGAUCUUAGUCAGACACUGCCAAAUUGUCUUCCAAAGUGGCUCUUCCAUUUUACAUUCCCACCAGCAAU